GGGAUUGUAGCUCAGCGGUCAGAGCAGGACGCUCAUAACGUCUUGGUCGUAGGUUCAAUCCCUACCAAUCCCACCA
Molecule: transfer RNA, 76 nt
Filed under: Alphaproteobacteria bacterium
Lineage: Bacteria; Pseudomonadati; Pseudomonadota; Alphaproteobacteria
Also listed under: 2 other names
Description: tRNA-Ile
Rfam family: tRNA
About the family: Transfer RNA (tRNA) molecules are approximately 80 nucleotides in length. Their secondary structure includes four short double-helical elements and three loops (D, anti-codon, and T loops).
Source: RNAcentral